GAAUCUUAUAGACCAUCAUUAUUGGUACUAUGAAUAUGAAAAAAAAAAAAAAAAAAGUUUAUAUCUUUAACUUUCAAAAAGUGUAUACAAAACAUGUGUGUCAUUUUUUUAUUUCAUUUUAUAGAGGGUUUACAAUUGGAUGUUGAUCGUUUCAGGCAUAAUUUCAAUUUUUAUUGUUUUUGAAGGGUAUAUAUAAUAAAUCUACGCACUUAUAUAUAUAUAUACACGCAGUUUAUAUGUAUGUACUUGUGUUUACAUAUUUACUUAUAAGUGUACUAUUUUAUAUGCACUUUUAUUAUAUAUAUGUUGUUUUUAUUUUCCCCAUUUUUUAGAAUAUUUACUUAUCCCUUAAAAGAUUUAUUUUUGAUGAUAAUUUAUUCCGCAUUGACAUGGGCUAAUGCUGUAUCUUGUUGGAAAGUUACACAAGUAUUAUUUACUGGAAGACGCAGUCAAGACACUCUUUUAGAUAGCCUAAGUACACAAAAAAAAAAAUAAUUACUUUUUUUCAUUUUUUGAUAAAUAUAGUUAUAAAUAUAUUAAUGGGCAAACUAAUAUUGAGGAAAUAUACAUAAAAUUAUGUUUUUUUUACAUAGUACAAACUAUUUU
This 606-nucleotide long non-coding RNA is filed under the name Piliocolobus tephrosceles (Ugandan red Colobus). RNAcentral describes it as "lncRNA (ENSPTEG00000000415.1)". Lineage: Eukaryota; Metazoa; Chordata; Mammalia; Primates; Cercopithecidae. The record is from RNAcentral.